UGGUCGAUCAGCCGGUCGGCGCGGUUCGGGACCUGGCGCGCCCAGCGGGAGUCCUGCAUCGCGUCCGCCGCCGCGUUCCAGUCGCCGUUCGCCAGC
Molecule: transfer RNA, 96 nt
Filed under: Actinocatenispora rupis
Lineage: Bacteria; Bacillati; Actinomycetota; Actinomycetes; Micromonosporales; Micromonosporaceae
Description: tRNA-Ala
Source: RNAcentral